RNAcentral lists this non-coding RNA (31 nucleotides) under Homo sapiens (human). Lineage: Eukaryota; Metazoa; Chordata; Mammalia; Primates; Hominidae. The record is from RNAcentral.
UCCUAUACUGACAAAGAACUGUGGCUGUCUA